Molecule: ribosomal RNA, 481 nt
Filed under: uncultured bacterium
Lineage: Bacteria
Description: partial 16S ribosomal RNA
Rfam family: Bacterial small subunit ribosomal RNA
Source: RNAcentral
GAUGAACGCUGGCGGCGUGCUUAACACAUGCAAGUCGAACGAAGCACUUUAUUUGAUUUCCUUCGGGACUGAUUAUUUUGUGACUGAGUGGCGGACGGGUGAGUAACGCGUGGGUAACCUGCCUUGUACAGGGGGAUAACAGUUGGAAACGGCUGCUAAUACCGCAUAAGCGCACGGCAUCGCAUGAUGCAGUGCGAAAAACUCCGGUGGUAUAAGAUGGACCCGCGUUGGAUUAGCUAGUUGGUGAGGUAACGGCCCACCAAGGCGACGAUCCAUAGCCGACCUGAGAGGGUGACCGGCCACAUUGGGGCUGAGACACGGCCCAAACUCCUACGGGAGGCAGCAGUGGGGAAUAUUGCACAAUGGGCGAAAGCCUGAUGCAGCGACGCCGCGUGAGCGAAGAAGUAUUUCGGUAUGUAAAGCUCUAUCAGCAGGGAAGAUAAUGACGGUACCUGACUAAGAAGCACCGGCUAAAUACGUG